UACAGAGGUCUCAAGCGUUGUUCGGAUUCAUUGGGCGUAAAGGGUGCGUAGGUGGCGCCGUAAGUCAGGUGUGAAAUUCGGAGCUUAACUCCGAAACUGCAUUUGAUACUGCGGUGCUUGAGGACUGGAGAGGAGACUGGAAUUUACGGUGUAGCAGUGAAAUGCGUAGAGAUCGUAAGGAAGACCAGUGGCGAAGGCGGGUCUCGUGGACAGUUCCUGACACUGAGGCACGAAGGCCAGGGGAGCAAACGGGG
Molecule: ribosomal RNA, 254 nt
Filed under: uncultured bacterium
Lineage: Bacteria
Description: partial 16S ribosomal RNA
Rfam family: Bacterial small subunit ribosomal RNA
Source: RNAcentral